GAGAAGGAAACAAGUUAAACAACGUCAAGAGGGUGUGAUCAGCAGAAUCCAAACCGUGGGAAACUACCCAACAAAGAGAACUGGUCCCUUCAACAACAACAACAACACAGCAAAUAGGAAAGAAGAGUAUGCACUUUAUUUGGAUCCUGAGCAAAGGAAAUAUGAAGAAAUAAAAAAGAGAGAGAUGUGUCAGAAUCCAGCCAUCAAGUUGAAAUAGGUUAAUCUGGUCUUACCACCAGCAAACAAGCCUCAGUCAUCUGGAAGAAGAUGCUGACACAAGAGGUGCUGGGAUGGGACGGUGUGUAGAAGCAAAGGAAGCCUCUCUACUCCACAGAGAAAGAAACUACGAACAGGAAAACGGAAACCUCUGUGGUUCUCUUUCAAGAGUAAGA
Molecule: long non-coding RNA, 392 nt
Organism: Hyaena hyaena (striped hyena)
Lineage: Eukaryota; Metazoa; Chordata; Mammalia; Carnivora; Hyaenidae
Exons: 3
Source: RefSeq, a predicted model, not a curated record